UGUCCACAUACACACACACAUCUAUCGCACCGGACGAAAUUGCUUUUUAAUUAUGUCACGGUACACUAGACCCUGUCUGCAGUGCCUGGUGAUAACAUCAUCAUAAUUCUUCCCUUCCAGCUGUUAUUGGGCCCGACCCUGAUUAUGCACCCUACCGAAAACCAGACACAACACCAGCACCACUCCCAAACCUACAAG
This is a long non-coding RNA of Adelges cooleyi (spruce gall adelgid), 198 nucleotides long. RefSeq lists it as uncharacterized. The record is from RefSeq and is a predicted model, not a curated record. NCBI's taxonomy places the organism in Eukaryota, Metazoa, Arthropoda, Insecta, Hemiptera, Adelgidae. The transcript is spliced from 4 exons.